Non-coding RNA from Caenorhabditis elegans, 125 nucleotides. The record is from Ensembl. Lineage: Eukaryota; Metazoa; Nematoda; Chromadorea; Rhabditida; Rhabditidae.
CAAUAUUGCUAGAAUCUCCCAAAUGAAAAUGAACUUGACCGUGGGAAAAUUUUUAAAAUAUCUAGCCAAGGAUUUGUAGACAAAUCGUGCGAAAAUCGGUCCAAAAAAACUCACAUUCUUCGAGU